GAUGAAGAACGCAGCGAAAUGCGAUACGUAAUGUGAAUUGCAGAAUUCAGUGAAUCAUCGAAUCUUUGAACGCACAUUGCACUCUCUGGUAUUCCGGAGAGUAUGCUUGUUUGAGUAUCUGUAAACAUCUCAAAUCUCUCUUCAAUUGCUUCAAUUGGGUCGAGAGAAUUGGAUUUGAGCGAUCCCGACUCCUUCGUCAGAAAGAGGAGGGUCGCUUGAAAUGCAGGUGCAGCUGGACAUUCUUCUGAGCAAAAAGCAUAUCUAUUUAGUCCCGUCAAACGGAUUAUUACUUUUGCUUCAGCUAAUAUAAAGGUUGAAUGAACUACCAACGCUGAUUGCAGGAAAACUUGUUCGUUUAUUCGGACUUGUAAACUCGAUCUCAAAUCAAGUAAGACUACCCGCUGAACUUAAGCAUAUCAAUAAGCGGAGGA
This 431-nucleotide unclassified non-coding RNA is filed under the name soil metagenome. RNAcentral's name for it is "partial contains 5.8S ribosomal RNA, internal transcribed spacer 2, and large subunit ribosomal RNA". The stretch from base 1 to 120 matches the Rfam family "5.8S ribosomal RNA", at positions 35 to 154 of the family's 154-position model. The record is from RNAcentral.